Molecule: ribosomal RNA, 427 nt
Filed under: uncultured bacterium
Lineage: Bacteria
Description: partial 16S ribosomal RNA
Rfam family: Bacterial small subunit ribosomal RNA
Source: RNAcentral
GUGGGGAAUUUUGGACAAUGGGGGAAACCCUGAUCCAGCGACGCCGCGUGAAGGACGAAGGCCUUCGGGUUGUAAACUUCUUUUGGAGGGGACGAAUAAAUUGACGGUACCCUCAGAAAAAGCCACGGCUAACUACGUGCCAGCAGCCGCGGUAAUACGUAGGUGGCGAGCGUUACUCGGAAUUACUAGGCGUAAAGCGUAUGUAGGUGGUCAGAUAAGUCUAUGGUGAAAUUUCCUGGCUCAACUGGGAAGGGACAUAGAUACUAUCUGGCUUGAGUGUGGGAGGGGAAGACGGAAUUCCUGGUGUAGCGGUGAAAUGCGUAGAUAUCAGGAGGAACACCGAUGGCGAAAGCAGUCUUCUGGCCCAAUACUGACACUGAGGUACGAAAGCUAGGGUAGCAAAAAGGAUUAGAAACCCUGGUAGUCC